Molecule: ribosomal RNA, 253 nt
Filed under: uncultured bacterium
Lineage: Bacteria
Description: partial 16S ribosomal RNA
Rfam family: Bacterial small subunit ribosomal RNA
Source: RNAcentral
UACAGAGGUCUCAAGCGUUGUUCGGAAUCACUGGGCGUAAAGGGUGCGUAGGCGGUGCGGCAAGUCAGAUGUGAAAUCCCGGGGCUCAACCUCGGAACUGCAUCCGAUACUGCCGGACUUGAGGGCUGGAGAGGUGUAUGGAAUUCCUGGUGUAGAGGUGAAAUUCGUAGAUAUCAGGAGGAACACCGGUGGCGAAGGCGGCUUUCUGGACACUUACUGACGCUGAGACGCGAAAGCGUGGGGAGCAAACAGG